GACCCUGGGUGAGUGAGUAGUUUACUUGGGAGGCACGUUGACUAUUGCCUCUUGGGUAAUCUAGGAAACCUUUCAUCUGUCUUUUCAACGCACGCUCAGAGCCUGUUUGCGUGCACUUAGCACCAGGCACACUGGCCAGACACUCAACCCCCAGGUGCAGAACGACAGAGCCCACUCUAGGGGGUGACAUUGAAGGUGACCCGGGGGCCUGAGCAGGACCUGAGCAGAUGAUGAUCUGGAGGAAAACCAUGACCACCGUCCCCAGCAAAAACAAAGUCCCUGUGGAGUUAGGACCCUUCCCCCUCCCGGGCUGCCAGCGAGAAUGGUGGCAUGACCAUAGUCCCCUCGGGAGUUGCGUGAGGUCUGUGCAGUUUCAAAUGGGGAAGACCUUGUAGGAAGUUGUAGUUACAGUGUGAUGAUCAUUUGAGAGCCGCAAGCAACAGAAACUUGAAGGAGCUCAGCCCACUGACGUGUGUGUGCUGAGAAAGGGGAAUGAAGGCCCAGCGGGGGACGGCCUCUCUGCCCGUUCCUCCUUGCCAGCACACCCACCAGGGUCCCCAGGUCUAGGUCUGCACACUGCUCUCCCCACAGGCCACCCUGGGCCAGCAUGCUUGAUGCAGUGGAGCAGUCCACAACACUGGGAAGGGGAACCGGGUGAAUGGGGGAGGCCAGGCUAUUUCCCACCUUGCUCCCAUCCUCCCGACAGCCUGGAAAGGAAUAGGAAAGGGGGGAGACCUUCAUGGGCUGUCCAUGCCGCAGCUUACAUGCUGACCAGAGGCCCGAUGAGCCUCUAGAACGAUUCUCCUCCCUCUCCUUGCCAAGCCCAGCCAGGCAGUCAGCAGCUACAGGCUUGGGAACCUGAAGGGCCUUUGAGAUGCUUAAGCAUCACCUGGUAAUUACUCAGUAUUAAUUAAAAUCCUCACUAGCACCUCCCAUACAGGCUUGGCAAACAGCCAAGAGCUCAGAGCUGCAAAGAACUAAGCUGCCCAUAGCGGAAGCCCUUCAUUUCUUCAUUUCUGUGGUGCAGAGGCCAGUACAAGCGCUAGGCUAGGCAAGCCUGGGGUUGCAAACUGUAGUGUUUCCCUAGAGACACCUGACCCCUGUUGCCUGCUGGCUCCGUGUUGCACACUUUUGGACAAGGUUUACUGACAAAGAAGAAGAAGAAGAAGAAGAAGAAGAAGAUGGCCCAAGUGCUUGGGCCCCUGCACCCAUGUGGGAGACCUGGAAGAAGCUUCUGGCUCCUGGCUUCACCUGGGCACAGCUCCAGCUGUUGCGGCCAUCUGGGGAGUGAACCAGAAGAUGGAAGACCUCUCUCUCUCUCUGCCUCUCCUCUCUGUGUAACUCUGACUUUCAAAUAAAUGGGUCAAUCUUUAAAAAAAAAAAAAAAAA
Non-coding RNA from Oryctolagus cuniculus (rabbit), 1389 nucleotides. The record is from RefSeq and is a predicted model, not a curated record. Lineage: Eukaryota; Metazoa; Chordata; Mammalia; Lagomorpha; Leporidae.